UACGAAGGGGGCGAGCGUUGUUCGGAUUUACUGGGCGUAAAGGGCGCGCAGGCGGCCACUCAAGUCAGGCGUGAAAGCCCCGGGCUUAACCUGGGAACUGCGUCUGGGACUGAGAGGCUAGAGAUCGGGAGAGGAGAGUGGAAUUCCCAGUGUAGAGGUGAAAUUCGUAGAUAUUGGGAAGAACACCGGUGGCGAAGGCGGCUAUCUGGCCCGUAAUUGACGCUGAGGCGCGAAAGCGUGGGGAGCAAACAGG
This 253-nucleotide ribosomal RNA is filed under the name uncultured bacterium. RNAcentral describes it as "partial 16S ribosomal RNA". It matches the Rfam family "Bacterial small subunit ribosomal RNA", at positions 524 to 776 of the family's 1533-position model. The record is from RNAcentral.